AGGACGAACGCUGGCGGCGUGCUUAACACAUGCAAGUCGAGCGGAAAGGCCCUUCGGGGUACUCGAGCGGCGAACGGGUGAGUAACACGUGAGUAAUCUGCCCCUAGCUCUGGGAUAGCUCCGGGAAACCGGGAUUAAUACCAGAUACGACCACUUUAGACAUCUGUUGUGGUGGAAAGAAUUUUGGCUAGGGAUGAGCUCGCGGCCUAUCAGCUUGUUGGUGAGGUAACGGCUCACCAAGGCGACGACGGGUAGCCGGCCUGAGAGGGCGACCGGCCACACUGGGACUGAGACACGGCCCAGACUCCUACGGGAGGCAGCAGUGGGGAAUAUUGCGCAAUGGGCGAAAGCCUGACGCAGCGACGCCGCGUGGGGGAUGAAUGCCUUCGGGUUGUAAACCCCUUUCAGUUGGGACGAAGCUCCGCCGGUGAAUAGCCGGUUGGAGUGACGGUACCUUCAGAAGAAGCCCCGGCUAACUACGUGCCAGCAGCCGC
Molecule: ribosomal RNA, 494 nt
Filed under: uncultured bacterium
Lineage: Bacteria
Description: SSU rRNA
Rfam family: Bacterial small subunit ribosomal RNA
Source: RNAcentral